AGCUUUUUUUUUUUUUUGUUGAAGAUAGGAAAUUCAUAGAUAGCCAUCAAAUGGCAAUUAGGGGUGGACACACAUACGUGAUGAAGGGAUGAAGGGAUCUUCUCUUCAUCACCAACCAUGUCAACAAUAGACCUAGCAUCAAGCUCUACAUAGCUUGUUCGUCAAUGAUGUCAAACCAACAAACACUACCCUUGUCCCCCAAGUUCAGCAAUUGUAAUACAGCAGGUUCCAAGUUGGAUGCAAAUCCCCAAUCCAUAAACCAGUCUCUGUAAAAU
This 275-nucleotide unclassified non-coding RNA is filed under the name Hevea brasiliensis (rubber tree). Lineage: Eukaryota; Viridiplantae; Streptophyta; Magnoliopsida; Malpighiales; Euphorbiaceae. The record is from RNAcentral.